This is a non-coding RNA of Trichobilharzia regenti, 46 nucleotides long. NCBI's taxonomy places the organism in Eukaryota, Metazoa, Platyhelminthes, Trematoda, Strigeidida, Schistosomatidae. The record is from Rfam.
GUACUGCUAAAGAGUCCCAAAUUAGAACGAAACAUAUGUCCAGUAC